GCGCGAGCGAUUUAGUCUGAGGCGAAGCUUCGGAGCGGCCGGUACUGUUGAAAGCGACAAGUGGAGGCGCCGCUCUAGCGGCCGGGACUCUGAACUAUGGCGAUAAUGAAGGAAGAAAACACAGGAGCCGGAGCAGAAGCAAAGAGGUAAUUAACACUUUGUAGUGAAUAGGUACUUUAAAAUACUUAUAAAGUGUCUGGUAGAAAGAUUUGUAUGAAUAUAAGACGUUGUCAAGGUAAGUACAAAACUUGAAAUUUAAAAGGUUUAUUGGGUUAUAAAAUAAGCAUGAUUUUGAUUCAUCAUUUUUGAAGAAGAUGUUUAUGUGAAAAGUACCUUCAAAACUUUAAUUUUAUUAUAUUGUGAAAAUAUUCACAAUAAAAAUUUCAUAUGAAGAAUAUGAUUGGUUUUUUUAGGCCUGUCACACAGAGCUUCCAUUAAUCUGAGGUCCCGAGUCUCCUGGUGCCUGACAGUUGCUCAGGAUUUUUAAACAGCAAUCAUCUUUACAUAGCAAUACCCUAGAUAUCUGUGCGCUGCUUUUUCCUUAUGAACGAUA
This 553-nucleotide long non-coding RNA is filed under the name Homo sapiens (human). Its description in RNAcentral is "non-protein coding lnc-ZCCHC8-1:6". Lineage: Eukaryota; Metazoa; Chordata; Mammalia; Primates; Hominidae. The record is from RNAcentral.